RNAcentral lists this ribosomal RNA (480 nucleotides) under uncultured Parvibaculum sp. RNAcentral describes it as "bacterial SSU rRNA". It matches the Rfam family "Bacterial small subunit ribosomal RNA", at positions 908 to 1382 of the family's 1533-position model. The record is from RNAcentral. Lineage: Bacteria; Pseudomonadati; Pseudomonadota; Alphaproteobacteria; Hyphomicrobiales; Parvibaculaceae.
AAAUUGACGGGAAACCCGCACAAGCGGUGGAGUAUGUUGUUUAAUUCGAAGAUACACGAAGAACCUUUACCAACCCUUGACAUCGAGAUCGCGGUUUCCAGAGAUUGGAUUCCUUCAGUUCGGCUGGAUCUUAGACAGGUGUUGCAUGGCUGUCGUCAGCUCGUGUCGUGAGAUGUUGGGUUAAGUCCCGCAACGAGCGCAACCCUCGCCUUUAGUUGCCAUCAUUAAGUUGGGCACUCUAGAGGGACUGCCGGUGAUAAGCCGGAGGAAGGUGGGGAUGACGUCAAGUCCUCAUGGCCCUUAUGGGUUGGGCUACACACGUGCUACAAUGGCGGCGACAAUGGGCAGCGAAGGGGCGACCCGGUGCAAAUCCCAAAAAGCCGUCUCAGUUCGGAUUGCACUCUGCAACUCGAGUGCAUGAAGGUGGAAUCGCUAGUAAUCGCGUAACAGCAUGACGCGGUGAAUACGUUCCCGGGCCUU